Molecule: RNA transcript, 698 nt
Organism: Cannabis sativa
Lineage: Eukaryota; Viridiplantae; Streptophyta; Magnoliopsida; Rosales; Cannabaceae
Gene name: protein PXR1
Exons: 2
Source: RefSeq, a predicted model, not a curated record
UGAAUAAUGUUACCAUCACUUUAGUACCUAUGCCUUUAUAAAGACUCAAAACACAAUAACAAAAUCAACCACAAAGAGAAGAACCCCAUAAGCCUAAUAUUAUUUACUAUUUAAGGCUCUCUUUCUCCUAAAUAUUAUAGUUGUUUUGCCAUGGCUUCAAUGCAGUGUGAAAAACCAACUAAGGAGAUUGAGAUUGAGAUUACCCAUGAAAAUACCAAGAAGAUUAAGGAGAAGAAAGAUGAUGUGAAAAAGGAGAAGAAAGAUAAGCAUGACAAGAAAGAUGAUAGCAAAAAGAAGGAGAAGAAAGUAGAUGAUACUAAAAAGGAGAAGAAAGAUGAUAGCAAAAAGAAGGAGAAGAAAGAUGAUGGCAAAAAGAAAGAGAAGAAAGAUGAUGGCAAAAAGGAAAAGAAAGAUGAUGGCAAAAAGGAAAAGAAAGAGAAGAAAGAUGAUAGCAAGAAGAAGCACAAGGAUGACAAGUAGAGACUAAGUCUAGCAACCACAGGCAAGUUCUCUUUUUGUUGAAAACAAAGUAGAUACCAGGAAGAUGUAGCAUAUGGUGAAUAAGGAUCGAAGCUCAUUAUAAAAGGGUUUUACUUAGCAUGUGAUUACUCCUAUACAUGUAAGAAAGAAUUAUCCUCUAAUAUCUAUGUCAAGAGAAUAAGACUAAUUAAUGAUAAGAAAAGUGCACUUUUCACCAA